This 498-nucleotide ribosomal RNA is filed under the name uncultured bacterium. RNAcentral's name for it is "partial 16S ribosomal RNA". It matches the Rfam family "Bacterial small subunit ribosomal RNA", at positions 28 to 507 of the family's 1533-position model. The record is from RNAcentral.
GACGAACGCUGGCGGCGUGCCUAAUACAUGCAAGUCGAACGAGAGCGACCGGUGCUUGCACUGGUCAAUCUAGUGGCGAACGGGUGAGUAACACGUGGGUAACCUGCCCAUCAGAGGGGGAUAACAUCCGGAAACGGAUGCUAAAACCGCAUAGGUCUUCGAACCGCAUGGUUUGAAGAGGAAAAGAGGCGCAAGCUUCUGCUGAUGGAUGGACCCGCGGUGCAUUAGCUAGUUGGUGAGGUAACGGCUCACCAAGGCCGUGAUGCAUAGCCGACCUGAGAGGGUGAUCGGCCACAUUGGGACUGAGACACGGCCCAGACUCCUACGGGAGGCAGCAGUAGGGAAUAUUCCGCAAUGGACGCAAGUCUGACGGAGCAACGCCGCGUGAGUGAAGAAGGUUUUCGGAUCGUAAAACUCUGUUGUUAGAGAAGAACAAGUGCUAGAGUAACUGUUAGCGCCUUGACGGUAUCUAACCAGAAAGCCACGGCUAACUACGUG